Molecule: ribosomal RNA, 605 nt
Filed under: uncultured Actinomycetes bacterium
Lineage: Bacteria; Bacillati; Actinomycetota; Actinomycetes
Description: bacterial SSU rRNA
Rfam family: Bacterial small subunit ribosomal RNA
Source: RNAcentral
CGAGCGGAAAGGCCCUUUCGGGGGUACUCGAGCGGCGAACGGGUGAGUAACACGUGAGUAAUCUGCCCUGCGCUCUGGGAUAGCCACCGGAAACGGUGAUUAAUACCGGAUAGGACCACUUCACGCAUGUGAUGGUGGUGGAAAGUUUUUUCGGCGCAGGAUGUGCUCGCGGCCUAUCAGCUUGUUGGUGAGGUAACGGCUCACCAAGGCUUUGACGGGUAACCGGCCUGAGAGGGUGACCGGUCACACUGGGACUGAGACACGGCCCAGACUCCUACGGGAGGCAGCAGUGGGGAAUAUUGGACAAUGGGCGGAAGCCUGAUCCAGCAACGCCGCGUGAGGGAUGACGGCCUUCGGGUUGUAAACCUCUUUCAGUACCGACGAAGCGAAAGUGACGGUAGGUACAGAAGAAGGACCGGCCAACUACGUGCCAGCAGCCGCGGUAAUACGUAGGGUCCGAGCGUUGUCCGGAAUUAUUGGGCGUAAAGGGCUCGUAGGCGGUUUGUCGCGUCGGGAGUGAAAACACCGGGCUUAACUCGGUGCUUGCUUUCGAUACGGGCAGACUAGAGGUAUGCAGGGGAGAAUGGAAUUCCUGGUGUAGCGGU